UGGGUGAUCUGCCCUGCACUUUGGGAUAAGCCUGGGAAACUGGGUCUAAUACCGAAUACACCCUGCUGGUCGCAUGGCCUGGUGGGGGAAAGCUUUUGCGGUGUGGGAUGGGCCCGCGGCCUAUCAGCUUGUUGGUGGGGUGAUGGCCUACCAAGGCGACGGCGGGUAGCCGGCCUGAGAGGGUGUCCGGCCACACUGGGACUGAGAUACCGGCCCAGACCUCCGUACGGGAGCA
Molecule: ribosomal RNA, 235 nt
Filed under: uncultured bacterium
Lineage: Bacteria
Description: partial 16S ribosomal RNA
Rfam family: Bacterial small subunit ribosomal RNA
Source: RNAcentral